Molecule: ribosomal RNA, 401 nt
Filed under: uncultured bacterium
Lineage: Bacteria
Description: bacterial SSU rRNA
Rfam family: Bacterial small subunit ribosomal RNA
Source: RNAcentral
UCGGGAAUUUUGGGCAAUGGGCGAAAGCCUGACCCAGCAACGCCGCGUGAGGGAUGAAGUAUUUCGGUAUGUAAACCUCGAAAGAAUGGGAAGAAUAAUGACGGUACCAUUUAUAAGCUCCGGCUAACUACGUGCCAGCAGCCGCGGUAAUACGUAGGGAGCAAGCGUUGUUCGGAUUUACUGGGCGUAAAGGGCGCGUAGGCGGCGCGGUAAGUCACUUGUGAAAUCUCUGAGCUUAACUCAGAACGGCCAAGUGAUACUGCUGUGCUAGAGUGUGGAAGAGGCAACCGGAAUUCUUGGUGUAGCGGUUAAAUGCGUAGAUAUCAAGAGGAACACCUGAGGCGAAGGCGGGUUGCUGGGCCGACACUGACGCUGAUGCGCGAAAGCCAGGGGAGCAAACG